This 292-nucleotide ribosomal RNA is filed under the name uncultured bacterium. RNAcentral's name for it is "partial 16S ribosomal RNA". It matches the Rfam family "Bacterial small subunit ribosomal RNA", at positions 505 to 796 of the family's 1533-position model. The record is from RNAcentral.
GUGCCAGCCGCCGCGGUAAUACGGAGGAUCCAAGCGUUAUCCGGAUUUAUUGGGUUUAAAGGGUGCGUAGGCGGCUUUUUAAGUCAGGGGUGAAAGACGGUAGCUCAACUAUCGCAGUGCCCUUGAUACUGAAGAGCUUGAAUGGACUAGAGGUAGGCGGAAUGUGACAAGUAGCGGUGAAAUGCAUAGAUAUGUCACAGAACACCGAUUGCGAAGGCAGCUUACUAUGGUUUAAUUGACGCUGAGGCACGAAAGCGUGGGGAUCAAACAGGAUUAGAUACCCUCGUAGUCC